CAGGGAUUGCCCUAGUAACGGCGAGUGAAGCGGCAACAGCUCAAAUUUGAAAUCUGGCCCCAUUGCCCGAGUUGUAAUUUGCAGAGGAUGCUUUUGGCAAAGCGCGUACCGAGUCCCCUGGAACGGGGCGCCACAGAGGGUGAGAGCCCCGUAUGGUGCGACGCCGAGCCUCUGUAAAGCUCCUUCGACGAGUCGAGUAGUUUGGGAAUGCUGCUCUAAAUGGGAGGUAAAUUUCUUCUAAAGCUAAAUACCGGCCAGAGACCGAUAGCGCACAAGUAGAGUGAUCGAAAGAUGAAAAGCACUUUGAAAAGAGGGUUAAAUAGCACGUGAAAUUGUUGAAAGGGAAGCGCUCGUGACCAGACUUGCGCCGGGCGGAUCAUCCAGCGUUCUCGCUGGUGCACUCCGCCCGGCUCAGGCCAGCAUCGGUUUUCGCCGGGGGACAAAAGCUUCGGGAACGUGGCUCCCUUCGGGGAGUGUUAUAGCCCGUUGCUUAAUACCCCGGCGGGGACCGAGGACCGCGCUUCGGCAAGGAUGCUGGCGUAAUGGUCAUCAGCGACCCGUCUUGAAACACGGACCGAGGAGUCAAGCAUUAGUGCGAGUGUUUGGGUGUAAAACCCGCACGCGUAAUGAAAGUGAACGUAGGUGAGAGCUUCGGCGCAUCAUCGACCGAUCCUGAUGUUUUCGGAUGGAUUUGAGUAGGAGCAUUAACGCUUGGACCCGAAAGAUGGUGAACUAUACUUGAAUAGGGUGAAGCCAGAGGAAACUCUGGUGGAGGCUCGCAGCGGGUUCUGACGUGCAAAUCGAUCGUCAAAUUUGAGUAUAGGGGCGAAAGACUAAUCGAACCAUCUAGUAGCUGGUUACCGCC
RNAcentral lists this ribosomal RNA (865 nucleotides) under Gaeumannomyces radicicola. RNAcentral's name for it is "LSU rRNA". It matches the Rfam family "Eukaryotic large subunit ribosomal RNA", at positions 69 to 962 of the family's 3401-position model. The record is from RNAcentral. Lineage: Eukaryota; Fungi; Ascomycota; Sordariomycetes; Magnaporthales; Magnaporthaceae.